GAUUAACUGACACUGAGUUCUGAACACUAGGAAAUAUUCUAACAAUGCCGGUCAGUGCAGUGAUCAUAACAUGUUUUCUACUUUAGGAAGAAGAGCUAUAUAUUGUUAUAAAUAAUCGAAUGAUCAAUUCUAUCUUCAUUCAGGAUAUAGUGUUUCGUCAUUAAUUCACAGAACGCCGACAAUGUUUUCGAUUAAGUGGUACAUUUAACAAGCGACAAGGCAGGCGGAAAGGCAUAUAAAUUGGAACAGCUGCCGCAGAAACAAUGUAUAAUUUUCAAAUGGCAACUCAUUUCUAGAUACUGAGCACCGCAUAUACUGCGUGGGUUUCCAAGAAUACAGGAAACCGAUAGGAAGAGCAGCAAUCCCAAUUCAAUAAUCUAAUAUAGCCGCGCUAUAGAUUGGAGAAACCUCGAAGUGGAGCGGAGUGGUAUGGGAAACCUAUAAUCAGUUGAAUCAUCUCAUGUUGUUUCGCUAAAGAUUCAAACAAACAGAUGUCAUUGGGCAUUGUAAGAGGAGAAGAUAAAAUCAAACUGCUUGCGACGUACGUUGAACUAUGAGAUCACAGAAAUGUAAGAAAAUAAUGCACAGAAGACACAGUUAGAAGACUUAUUAUAUCAUCUUGGCACUUGAUUAAUCAUGCUGUAUUGAUUUGUUAUAGGGUUCAAGCACCGAGAAUUAAGACCAAAUCGGCUUAGAAAAAUACAUAGUAGGCGCAAAAAGUUGCUUUGUUGUGAUACCAAUAGGUUAGGUCCUUAGAAUCGCCGAUAGGAAAUUCAUAGAACGGAUAUACUGGACACAUAUAACAGUUACGGAAAAAUUGGGCUGUAAGUCAGUUAGUCAUGUCGACGCCCGCACGGAAUUCCACGAUUCAUCCCCCGGUACAGAAUGUACAUGAGAGAGAAAUGGAGAUGAUCACAAUAGCAUUGGUGUCUGCUGGCAUGGUUAUCUUUCUGGUAAGCUGUAUUUUCCUGGUAAAGUGUCUGGCUAAGAGACGGUUAUGGCAAGGGCAAACAACGCUCAGUCGAGCGUGUCAAAACACGCGUGUUCCUGCAGUCACUUUGCACCCCAGCCACAGGCAUUUCAACCAUGAUGACGUCACUCAGUUACAUCCCCAUGAUGUCACAUACUCGAAUCGUCGUACUAGCGGUUCCAACCAACUUCGUGCGCACGAUUCUGACUCGUCGCCUGAAUUAGAAAAGGGGCGAAUUCCUUACGAGGACCAAAGUGGUGCUAGAUACGAAUCUACAGAUAUUGUGAAACGGGAUGCCGAAUUCUAUUCUCAGGCGGACAGCAUGCAGAGCAAACAGCAACAUAUUACGUAUGUGGAAUUUUAAAACAGCGGAGUUUUUUUUACAGUGGGUAUAUGAUACAUAGCAGAAUAAGCAAGAUAGCAAAACACCAUAACCAGAUUGCAAAUUGAACUACUUUCCCAUUUGUAUUUUGGAUAAGUGGUACCCGGUAAAAAGGCAAACAAUGAAUAUUAAUUUUGAAUUCAGGUUGAUGACAUGGAAAAGAGAGCUAGCCGUUUUCAAACUGCGCAGAUCUAAACUACUAAAUUAGCUGGUCUGUGGUGUUCCAAAGGGGAUAUAACCUUGCCUAUCUGGAAAAUUGGCUGCGUGAGGAUGAAAUGACGAUUAUUACAGCUCUGUGUAUUGAGGGGUUCAAUUAGACCAACCAGCUGUACACUUGAUACUUAUUUCCUAAUGAAUCAACCCCACUGCGCAGAGUAGUUUCAUGAUAAGGUAUAGAAGUUCAAUAUGACUACCAAGUGUUUUCAGUGACUACAAAAAUAUAAAAAG
This is a long non-coding RNA of Lingula anatina, 1799 nucleotides long. RefSeq lists it as uncharacterized. The record is from RefSeq and is a predicted model, not a curated record. Lineage: Eukaryota; Metazoa; Brachiopoda; Lingulata; Lingulida; Lingulidae.